UCUUCGAGAUCAAUAGGGGCAAACGGGGAGAUACCUAUUGUGGGGAGAGCGGUGAAAUGCGAUGACCCCCAUAAGAGGAACUUCAGCGAAAGCAGUUCUCAAGACUGCCUUCGUUAAUCAAGAACGAGACUGUGGGGAUCGAAGAUGAUCAGAUACCGUCGUAGUCCACUAGCGUAAACGAUGCCGACUCAUCAUUGGGGGGCAUCUCUAACAAGCGCCCCCCAGUGGUUCUCCCCCCUGUAAGAGAAAUCAAAGUUUAUGGGCUCAGGGGGGAGUAUGGCUGCAAGGCUGAAACUUGAAGGAAUUGACGGAAUGACACCACCAGGCGUGGGGUCUGUGGUUUAAUUUGACUCAACAC
Molecule: ribosomal RNA, 358 nt
Filed under: uncultured marine eukaryote
Lineage: Eukaryota
Description: partial 18S ribosomal RNA
Rfam family: Eukaryotic small subunit ribosomal RNA
Source: RNAcentral